UUAGCUAGUUGGUGAGGUAACGGCUCACCAAGGCGACGAUCCUUAGCUGGUCUGAGAGGAUGAUCAGCCACACUGGGACUGAGACACGGCCCAGACUCCUACGGGAGGCAGCAGUGGGGAAUAUUGGACAAUGGGGGCAACCCUGAUCCAGCCAUGCCGCGUGAGUGAAGAAGGCCUUCGGGUUGUAAAGCUCUUUCGGCGGGGACGAUGAUGACGGUACCCGCAGAAGAAGCCCCGGCUAACUUCGUGCCAGCAGCCGCGGUAAUACGAAGGGGGCUAGCGUUGUUCGGAAUUACUGGGCGUAAAGGGCGCGUAGGCGGCUGCCCAAGUCAGAUGUGAAAGCCCCGGGCUUAACCUGGGAAUUGCAUUUGAUACUGGGCAGCUUGAGUUUCGGAGAGGUGGGUGGAAUUCCCAGUGUAGAGGUGAAAUUCGUAGAUAUUGGGAAGAACACCGGUGGCGAAGGCGGCCCACUGGACGAAUACUGACGCUGAGGCGCGAAAGCGUGGGGAGCAAACAGGAUUAGAUA
RNAcentral lists this ribosomal RNA (526 nucleotides) under uncultured bacterium. Its description in RNAcentral is "bacterial SSU rRNA". It matches the Rfam family "Bacterial small subunit ribosomal RNA", at positions 241 to 784 of the family's 1533-position model. The record is from RNAcentral.